RNAcentral lists this unclassified non-coding RNA (336 nucleotides) under soil metagenome. RNAcentral's name for it is "partial contains 5.8S ribosomal RNA, internal transcribed spacer 2, and large subunit ribosomal RNA". The stretch from base 1 to 120 matches the Rfam family "5.8S ribosomal RNA", at positions 35 to 154 of the family's 154-position model. The record is from RNAcentral.
GAUGAAGAACGUAGCGAAAUGCGAUAAGUAGUGUGAAUUGCAGAAUUCAGUGAAUCAUCGAAUCUUUGAACGCCCAUUGCGCCCUUUGGUAUUCCUUAGGGCAUGCCUGUUCGAGCGUCAUCUAAACCUUCAAGCCCUGCUUGGUGUUGGGUGCCUGUCCCGCCUCCGCGCGUGGACUCACCUCAAAUCCAUUGGCGGCCCCCGCGUCGGCCACGAGCGCAGCAGAAACGCGAACUCGUGAGCCCGUCCGGGCGGCUCCCAGAAGCUAACCCCCAAUUUUUGACCUCGGAUCAGGUAGGGAUACCCGCUGAACUUAAGCAUAUCAUAAGCGGAGGA